CCCUAGGCGGCCCUGCUGUCAAUCAGCCCCCGUUAUACUCCCUCCUCCCCUGGCGCCGAGGCCCCACGCGUCACGUCGUGGAGACGUCAGCUUGGAUCUCCUCCGGGAGAGCCGGGGAGGGGGAGGCGGAGGCGGAGGCGAGAGGAAGGAGGAGGGAAGGGGGGGGGUUGGAGCCUCUUGCGCAGGCGCGGGAGAGUGCCUUUGGGCUAGGGAAGAGGGUAGCGGGAGGGGGAGCUGGUGUUCCCGGUUUCCUGGGUUACUGGAGGGGGGCGGAGGGGUUGGGAGUCCGGCGGAGGCUGCAGCGGCUGAAGCGGCAGCUACGACUCCGGCGACGACGACGACGACGACGACGACAACGACGCGGGAUUCUCCCCGCCUGGGGGAGGGGGAGCGCGCGGCAGCGGCGGCGGCAGCGGCAGGCGCAGAUGAAGACUUAGUACAACAAUACUUCUUUAUUCCAUUACUAAGGCGCUCAAUUGAAAAAAGCUAAAUGUUGCAGAAGUGUUGAAAAUACCGGUAAGCAUCUCCCAUAAUAAUACUAUUUUAUAGUAGUGAAUAGAAUGUUAAUGGACUUACUGGGAUUUUGAUGGGAGGAAUGGGACAAUACAGUGAGUAUUAGUAAGUUUCACCUGUAGAUAUCUUCAUCUUUAGCUUUCGUAAUACUUAAAACUACAGGAAAGAGAGACCUGAAGCAUUCAAAGGAUUAAUCACUCAGUAUAAGAAAUACAGCACCUCCCCACCCCCAGUUUAUUAUUUGCUUGUUUGUUUUGAGUAAAGCACUUAAGAGCCUUAAGGGACUGAGACUAGAUAAGCUAAAGAUGUAAGAAGGAUAAUGUUGGUAGGGGGAGUGUAAUUAGUAGUUAUUGGAAAUUUAUCUCUCAAGGGUUAAAUUGGAACUCUUUUAUCUUAUUUUUCCCCUGUUAAAGUUCUUCCCUCACUUGGGAAGCUGUUUAAACAGAGUACUGGUUAGUGAUGGUUUGUUUUUGAGAAAUGUACGUGUUCAUUCUUCUUGGAGUAUUGUGAACUCCAAGAUUCAGCUAUGAAGUCCUGUCUGUCAUAUAGUGACACAACCUUAGUUGUGUCAAAGAUGUGAUAUUUAUUGGGAAGAUUCAUUUGUGAAGAGAUUUCCUUUUAAAAUGAUUCCUUUUGAGACAGCUAGGUGGCACAGUGGAUAGAGCUCUGGCCUUAAAGUCAGGAGGACCUGAGUUCAAAUGUGGCCUCAGACACAUAAUACUUCCUAACUGUGUGACUCUGGGCAAGUCACUUAACCCCAAAUGCCUUACUUAAAAAAAAGAAAAGAAAAGAAAGAAAGAUUACUUUAAAAGAAAAGAACAGGGGCAACUAAGUGGCACAGUGGAUAGAGCGCCGGCCCUGGAGUCAGGAGGACCCAAGUUCAAAUCCAGUCUCAGACCAAACACUUGACACUUACUAGCUGUAUGACCCUGGGCAAGUCACUUGACCUCAAUUGCCUGAGAAAGAAAAAAAAAGAU
This 1490-nucleotide long non-coding RNA is filed under the name Phascolarctos cinereus (koala). RNAcentral describes it as "lncRNA (ENSPCIG00000034972.1)". The record is from RNAcentral. Lineage: Eukaryota; Metazoa; Chordata; Mammalia; Diprotodontia; Phascolarctidae.